AACAGAGAUUAUUUAUUCCAUGUCAUUGGUUACUUUAUGUGGUGCUUACAUAACUCUGCUCUUCUUCACUUUCUAUUCCAAAACGUUUCCAGGAAGUAUUUUCCAUGGAUGGUGAUUCCAAAGGAAAGAGAGAAAAGUACACUGACGUUGACCAAGACCUUGAGGGGACUAAGCGGGAAAGUGAGAGCAUCACAUAAUGAGAGCUGACGUCAAGGCUGGCCCAAUCAAGAAACGGUCUCAAAACCAUACAAUGUAGGAAACAGAAUCAUCACAAAGAAAAACAAUGUGAUCUUGGAACAGUGGCGACCUCAAAGCACAUCUCUACAUCUUGAUAAGAAAAAAGAGGAGACGUAGAAAAUCCCCCAGAGCCAGACUCCAGUUUGGCUUACGGUCUGUCAUAACAUCACAGGCAUCAGGAGUGGGCUCUUUGGUGAUGAGAGCGGAACUGAAAAUGGAAAUGGAAAUCAAACACACAGCCCCAGUCAGGUCCCAGGUUAGCUGACCUGCUCCUAAUGCCUGCUGGGCUCAGGCCAGGAUAUCGGUGGAGGCCCCUGGUCUGCGGCCCAUUCCCCUUCUCUUGCCAUCCCCAUCUGGUCAUUGUAACAAGGGGCCUCGCACAUGAGUGUGGACACCCGGGGCUGGAUGUCUGAGCUCCAACCAUGUCCACAUCUCAGCCACAGCUGGCCAUUCUCAGCCACAGCUGGCCAUUCUCAGCCGAGGCAUGGACACACAAGUGGCCCUAGGGAAGAUGAACUCAGUGCACGCCCUGGCAGCUAGCAACGGGGCAUUUGGGCAGAGAAUUAUAGAAAAGGAAGGAUCUGGGGGUCCAGGGUACAUGUCCCUUUGCCCUGCAGACCUCUUUCCCCUUUAGGGAGCCACAGCCAGAGUGGGUGCCUCUUGGAACAUAUGACCUUAUCUCUUUGGCCCAGAGAUGACAUGUUCUGCUAUCCCAAGUGUGAGCCGUUUUGGUCUCAGAAGAAAAGUCCCCUCGUCUUCCUUUCAGGGAAAAGUGCUGAAGAGGGCAGGAGACUGGUGGUUUGAGACCUACCCCUUAGAAAUCAUGUGACCCUGUGCCGUGACUGACCUUCCUAUACCCAGCCCUGUGUGUACAAAAUGAAGACAAAUACCUACCUCGCCACCUUGUUGGCAGGACUCAAAGGAUGACAAAGUGCCAAGCAAAUGGCUGUUUUCUUAUGGAGAGCCAGGGAGGUAAAUAUGAUUCAGGGGAAACAGCCCUGGGCCUAUGGAAAUGAUCAGUCUGUUCCAGGAAUAAUACCUACCUAAAGGAUGCUGUUAAGCACUGAAUAAGGAAGUGUGUGUGCAAAGGCACCUGGUACCCAGGAAGACCGCAAAAACUAUUCAUGGUGGAGGUGUUGGUGCUGGUGGUGCCAGGCACCUGCAGCAGGUAUUUGGCUAAAUUACGUAAUUUAAUGAUCACAGUAACCAAAGAGGUGCGUUCCUAUAGCUCAGAUGGAAAAAGUGGGACCAAGGUCACAGGGUUCAUGAGUGAGCAGUGAGGCCAGGAAACACAUGCCUGUCUGUCUGCAUCCGAUUCCUCUUCCUGCCACACUCAGCACCACCUCGCCAGUUGUCUUGCAGACUCUGGGGAUAAUUCAUUCACAACACUCUUACCUACUCACAGCAGGAAGCCUGUUCACAGCACCCCAGGCCAGAUCAGCCAUUGAGACAUUUAUACUAGAGACUGUGGGCCACCUGCUAUGCCAACAGACACACAAGAGCGCCUUGUGUUCCCGUCCACAUCAACUCAGCUCAUCAAAAAACCCAUCCCAGGGAAAAUGAACUUGCUGAUAAACCAACUAACUAAGCGUAACAAGAAAUAACAGCAAAUUUUGAGGCACUUUACCAGGAGAGUCACACCCAGGUACUUGUUGGACCCAAGAAGACUCAGGUAGCAAGGCAGGGAGUGGCUCAUGACAGCUGCCCGGAAGAGUCACGUCUAUUUAGUUCUCGAAAAUAAUGGAAAACAAACUCGGUUUUCGCAAGUGGUAUGCUGUGUACACUGAGUCCACAUCAGGUGUUCUUGAAUUCUCUGAUAAAUAAAAACCACAAGCAACUGUGGCACCACCGGGCUGGAGGGAAGCGCCGGCUCGCACCUGUCAAUACGAGCAGCCUGGGGGCCUUAUGGGGCAGACCCUUUUCCUGAACUAGUGGUGCUGGAGUGAACACCUUCCAGGUCCCCAGGGCUCGCCCCUCACCCUGAAAAGAUUAAAUCAUUUAUUUAUAAGAAAAUAUCUAACCCAAAUACAGCAGGCACUGGGGGGCACAGGGAGCCGUGGUUACAAUGCAAGCAACAUCUGGACUUGCAAACUCAUGAUGCUGCCACAAGAAGCGUGUGCAAGGAAGGUGUUCCACGGCACAGCAGGGGAGACAGAUUUUGUAGAAGAGGUCAAGGUGAGGAUGGCGCCUCAACAGAAUCUUCAAAACCAAAAGGCAAGUUGCAGUACCCGCUGACCCUCCGCCAUGCAGAGACUGCCGCAGACGCCGAAACACCCUCCUCCCCGUCAGGCUGGCUUGUCCCCGGGCAUCUGAACAAGCCAACCUGACAGGAUGGGUGCUCAGCGGAGGACACUCUCUGAGAAGCCUGAGAUGAUGGGGAAACCCACUCUCCAGGGCUGGCUUCCCGCGCAGCUGUUUGGAGAAAGAGCUACCCUGGAGAACCUUAGUCACUGCUACAGUUAUAGAGAAGACGGAGCACAGGAGUAGCUCCUCAGGGAGGAGGGACACAGACCACACCCCCAGCUUCUUGGUGACCUCCAAGGGAACCAGCUGGAACGGCAGCAAAUGGGCUUUUCCCCCGGCUUUUUCUCAGCUCGCUGUGAACCCGGCCCAGAUGCAUCCCAUGCUUACUCAUAGAGUAAAGCAAGCCAGCCAAUCACCUCUAGCCUGGGAACACCGCUAGUCAGGAGGCCUCAAUCGACCUGAGAAGUCAGCCCAAGGCCCUGUCUCCAGAAGCCCGCAGCAGAUCUCUGGGUCAUGUCACAGGCGAGUCCUCACUUCACCAGCUCAGAGGUGAGCCACUCUCACCUGAACCUCUGCCUUCCGGCAGGGACCUCCUGAGUCCUGUGGGGUCUCCUGGGUCCAGGUGGGUUCCUAGUCCCGCCCCGUCUAGACUGACUUCAAAUAUAGUCCCCUGACAGUGUGAUUUUUUCCAGCCAGCCAAAUCACCGUUCAUUUUUAAAAUGGUUUUUAAAAAUUACAUUUCUAAGGCAAACAACGUAGAACAGAGCAGAGGAACAACAAAAAAGCACAAAGAAUGUUGCUAAUCACAGGCUGCCUAGCACUUUCCUUUCCCUUCAGAGGAGAAACUGUUUUAUAGGUAUCACACACGUGCACACGCACACACACACACGCACAGUUUUUCCCUGAUACUGGAAAUUCUUUGUGAACUAGCCACGUUGAUUUCUGCUGAACCUUUAAAAAAAAAAAAAAAAAAAAAAAAGAAAGAAAGAAAGAAAAGGAGCCACAGACGUGUCCAGGUCUGGAAGGGGCUGACCAGCUCUAAGCACAUCCACCUUGAACUCUGACACAGGUAACGCCAAAAUGAGGCCAGGACCUGACCAAGCCAAAAAAGCAGCAAAGGAUCAGAUGGGGUCCAAUGUGUAGAUCCAGUAGGGAAGAAUGUCGGAAAUUCUAAAUACACAGUUGGACAUCCUUCA
Long non-coding RNA from Gorilla gorilla gorilla (western lowland gorilla), 3677 nucleotides. RefSeq lists it as uncharacterized. The transcript has 3 exons. The record is from RefSeq and is a predicted model, not a curated record. NCBI's taxonomy places the organism in Eukaryota, Metazoa, Chordata, Mammalia, Primates, Hominidae.